AGAUUAUGUCAAGCAAGGUGAUAAGAUGGAUACCGUAAGUCAAGGAAUGCAGAUGGCUUACAGGACUUGAAAAAGAAAUAUUUUCCCUACUGCCUCCAAAACGAAUGCAACUCUCUUGAGA
RNAcentral lists this long non-coding RNA (121 nucleotides) under Papio anubis (olive baboon). Its description in RNAcentral is "lncRNA (ENSPANG00000047841.1)". Lineage: Eukaryota; Metazoa; Chordata; Mammalia; Primates; Cercopithecidae. The record is from RNAcentral.